This 460-nucleotide ribosomal RNA is filed under the name uncultured Eubacterium sp. Its description in RNAcentral is "bacterial SSU rRNA". It matches the Rfam family "Bacterial small subunit ribosomal RNA", at positions 48 to 499 of the family's 1533-position model. Lineage: Bacteria; Bacillati; Bacillota; Clostridia; Eubacteriales; Eubacteriaceae. The record is from RNAcentral.
CUAACACAUGCAAGUCGAGGGGUAGCAGGAUGUAGUAAUACAUUGCUGACGACCGGCGCACGGGUGAGUAACACGUAUGCAACCUACCUUCUACAGGGGGAAUAGCCCGGAGAAAUUCGGAUUAAUACCCCAUAACGCAGGGAUACCGCAUGGUAAUAUUUGCUAAAGAUCAAUCGGUAGAAGAUGGGCAUGCGUUCCAUUAGCCGGUUGGUGAGGUAACGGCUCACCAAAGCUACGAUGGAUACGGGAACUGNNNNGUUUAUCCCCCNCACUNNAACUGAGACACGGUCCAGACUCCUACGGGAGGCAGCAGUGAGGAAUAUUGGUCAAUGGACGAGAGUCUGAACCAGCCAAGUCGCGUGAAGGAUGACGGCCCUACGGGUUGUAAACUUCUUUUGUAUGGGAGUAAAAAGAUGGACGUGUCCAUUAUUGCAAGUACCAUACGAAUAAGCAUCGGCUA